UACGAAGGGUGCAAGCGUUAAUCGGAAUUACUGGGCGUAAAGGGAGCGUAGGCGGCUUUUUAAGUCGGAUGUGAAAUCCCCGGGCUCAACCUGGGAAUGGCAUUCGAUACUGGAGAGCUAGAGUUUGGGAGAGGGUGAUGGAAUUCCCGGUGUAGCGGUGAAAUGCGCAGAUAUCAGGAGGAACACCGGUGGCGAAGGCGGGUCUCUGGGCCGUAACUGACGCUGAGGAGCGAAAGCGUGGGGAGCGAACAGG
RNAcentral lists this ribosomal RNA (253 nucleotides) under uncultured bacterium. Its description in RNAcentral is "partial 16S ribosomal RNA". It matches the Rfam family "Bacterial small subunit ribosomal RNA", at positions 524 to 776 of the family's 1533-position model. The record is from RNAcentral.